RNAcentral lists this ribosomal RNA (468 nucleotides) under uncultured bacterium. RNAcentral describes it as "partial 16S ribosomal RNA". It matches the Rfam family "Bacterial small subunit ribosomal RNA", at positions 28 to 507 of the family's 1533-position model. The record is from RNAcentral.
GACGAACGCUGGCGGCGUGCUUAACACAUGCAAGUCGAACGGAAAGGCCCUGCUUUUGUGGGGUGCUCGAGUGGCGAACGGGUGAGUAACACGUGAGUAACCUGCCCUUGACUUUGGGAUAACUUCAGGAAACUGGGGCUAAUACCGGAUAGGAGCUCCUGCUGCAUGGUGGGGGUUGGAAAGUUUCGGCGGUUGGGGAUGGACUCGCGGCUUAUCAGCUUGUUGGUGGGGUAGUGGCUUACCAAGGCUUUGACGGGUAGCCGGCCUGAGAGGGUGACCGGCCACAUUGGGACUGAGAUACGGCCCAGACUGCUACGGGAGGCAGCAGGGGGGAAUAUUGCACAAUGGGCGGAAGCCUGAUGCAGCAACGCCGCGUGCGGGAUGACGGCCUUCGGGUUGUAAACCGAUUUCGCCUGUGACGAAGGGUGAGUGACGGUAAUGGGUAAAGAAGCACCGGCUAACUACGUG